RNAcentral lists this ribosomal RNA (253 nucleotides) under uncultured bacterium. RNAcentral's name for it is "partial 16S ribosomal RNA". It matches the Rfam family "Bacterial small subunit ribosomal RNA", at positions 524 to 776 of the family's 1533-position model. The record is from RNAcentral.
UACGUAGGGCGCAAGCGUUAUCCGGAAUUAUUGGGCGUAAAGAGCUCGUAGGCGGUUUGUCGCGUCUGACGUGAAAGUCCGGGGCUCAACUCCGGAUCUGCGGUGGGUACGGGCAGACUAGAGUGAUGUAGGGGAGACUGGAAUUCCUGGUGUAGCGGUGAAAUGCGCAGAUAUCAGGAGGAACACCGAUGGCGAAGGCAGGUCUCUGGGCAUUAACUGACGCUGAGGAGCGAAAGCAUGGGGAGCGAACAGG